GCAGAACGCGAAGAACCUUACCAAGGCUUGACAUAUACGAGAACGGGCCAGAAAUGGUCAACUCUUUGGACACUCGUAAACAGGUGGUGCAUGGUUGUCGUCAGCUCGUGUCGUGAGAUGUUGGGUUAAGUCCCGCAACGAGCGCAACCCUCGUUCUAUGUUGCCAGCACGUAAUGGUGGGAACUCAUGGGAUACUGCCGGGGUCAACUCGGAGGAAGGUGGGGAUGACGUCAAAUCAUCAUGCCCCUUAUGUCUUGGGCUUCACGCAUGCUACAAUGGCCGGUACAAAGGGCUGCAAUACCGCGAGGUGGAGCGAAUCCCAAAAAGCCGGUACCCAGUUCGGAUUGAGGUCUGCAACUCGACCUCAUGAAGUCGGAGUCGCUAGUAAUCGCAGAUCAGCAACGCUGCGGUGAAUACGUUCCCGGGUCUUGUACACACCG
Molecule: ribosomal RNA, 440 nt
Filed under: uncultured bacterium
Lineage: Bacteria
Description: bacterial SSU rRNA
Rfam family: Bacterial small subunit ribosomal RNA
Source: RNAcentral